UACAGGGGGUGCAAACGUUGCUCGGAAUCAUUGGGCGUAAAGCGCACGUAGGCGGUCUGUUAUGUCGGAUGUGAAAGCCCUGGGCUUAACCUAGGAAUUGCAGUCGAUACUACUCAGCUAGAGUAUGGGAGAGGGCAGUGGAAUUCCCGGUGUAGCGGUGAAAUGCGUAGAUAUCGGGAGGAACAUCAGUGGCGAAGGCGGCUGCCUGGCCCAAUACUGACACUCAGGUGCGACAGCGUGGGGAGCAAACAGG
Molecule: ribosomal RNA, 253 nt
Filed under: uncultured bacterium
Lineage: Bacteria
Description: partial 16S ribosomal RNA
Rfam family: Bacterial small subunit ribosomal RNA
Source: RNAcentral